RNAcentral lists this ribosomal RNA (475 nucleotides) under Escherichia coli. Its description in RNAcentral is "bacterial LSU rRNA". It matches the Rfam family "Bacterial large subunit ribosomal RNA", at positions 2473 to 2925 of the family's 2925-position model. Lineage: Bacteria; Pseudomonadati; Pseudomonadota; Gammaproteobacteria; Enterobacterales; Enterobacteriaceae. The record is from RNAcentral.
GAUAACAGGCUGAUACCGCCCAAGAGUUCAUAUCGACGGCGGUGUUUGGCACCUCGAUGUCGGCUCAUCACAUCCUGGGGCUGAAGUAGGUCCCAAGGGUAUGGCUGUUCGCCAUUUAAAGUGGUACGCGAGCUGGGUUUAGAACGUCGUGAGACAGUUCGGUCCCUAUCUGCCGUGGGCGCUGGAGAACUGAGGGGGGCUGCUCCUAGUACGAGAGGACCGGAGUGGACGCAUCACUGGUGUUCGGGUUGUCAUGCCAAUGGCACUGCCCGGUAGCUAAAUGCGGAAGAGAUAAGUGCUGAAAGCAUCUAAGCACGAAACUUGCCCCGAGAUGAGUUCUCCCUGACUCCUUGAGAGUCCUGAAGGAACGUUGAAGACGACGACGUUGAUAGGCCGGGUGUGUAAGCGCAGCGAUGCGUUGAGCUAACCGGUACUAAUGAACCGUGAGGCUUAACCUUACAACGCCGAAGCUGUU